Molecule: long non-coding RNA, 302 nt
Filed under: Cavia porcellus (domestic guinea pig)
Lineage: Eukaryota; Metazoa; Chordata; Mammalia; Rodentia; Caviidae
Description: lncRNA (ENSCPOG00000033295.1)
Source: RNAcentral
UGCUGGUGAGUCCCCUGCUGAGAGUCUGCUAGUGAGCCUCCUGCUGUUCACAGACUGACUGCAUACUGGAUUAAUUCCCCACUUCUCAACACUUGCGAGGUGCUAAAAUUGUCACUGCUGGUUUGCAAACAACACCGGUCUAAUUCAUUUACCACAGAUGCUGCUUGUCAAAAUUCAGACGGAGUUUGGAUUCUUGACCCAAGAGGGCUUGUGAUGUUUGCCAUGGUUGGAAAAGUGCGGGUUUCUCAUUCCUUAUCCUCACACUGCAGAUUACAAGUUAGAAGCAGUUCCUGACUUCCCAG